CAGCACCUCAAGUGGUCAGGAAGAUUAUUGGGCCUAAAGCAUCCGUAGCCGGCGCUGUAAGUUUUCGGAUAAAUCUGUACGCUCAACGUACAGGAUGCCGGGAAUACUGCAGCGCUAGGGAGUGGGAGAGGUAGACGGUACUCGGUAGGAAGGGGUAAAAUCCUUUGAUCUAUUGAUGACCACCUGUGGCGAAGGCGGUCUACCAGAACACGUCCGACGGUGAGGGAUGAAAGCUGGGGGAGCAAACCGGAUUAGAUACCCGAGUAGUCC
Molecule: ribosomal RNA, 270 nt
Filed under: uncultured archaeon
Lineage: Archaea
Description: partial 16S ribosomal RNA
Rfam family: Archaeal small subunit ribosomal RNA
Source: RNAcentral